This 761-nucleotide ribosomal RNA is filed under the name uncultured bacterium. RNAcentral describes it as "bacterial SSU rRNA". It matches the Rfam family "Bacterial small subunit ribosomal RNA", at positions 64 to 802 of the family's 1533-position model. The record is from RNAcentral.
GAACGCCGAAGGGGAGCAAUCCCUGAGUAGAGUGGCAAACGGGUGAGUAACACGUGGGUGACCUGCCUUCGAGUGGGGGAUAACGUCCCGAAAGGGACGCUAAUACCGCAUGACAUCCUGCUUUUGGAAAAGCGGAGAUCAAAGCUGGGGAUUCGCAAGAACCUAGCGCUUGAAGAGGGGCCCGCGCCUGAUUAGCUAGUUGGUGAGGUAACGGCUCACCAAGGCUACGAUCAGUAUCCGGCCUGAGAGGGCGGACGGACACACUGGGACUGAGACACGGCCCAGACUCCUACGGGAGGCAGCAGUGGGGAAUUGUUCGCAAUGGGCGCAAGCCUGACGACGCAACGCCGCGUGGAGGAUGAAGAUCUUCGGGUCGUAAACUCCUGUCGAGUGGGAAGAAUUGCUUCAGGGUGAAUAUCCCUGAAGUUUGACGGUACCACUAAAGGAAGCCCCGGCUAACUCCGUGCCAGCAGCCGCGGUAAUACGGGGGGGGCAAGCGUUGUUCGGAAUUACUGGGCGUAAAGGGCUCGUAGGCGGCCAACUAAGUCGGAUGUGAAAUCCCCAGGCUCAACCUGGGAACUGCAUCCGAUACUGGAUGGCUUGAAUUCGGGAGAGGGAUGCAGAAUUCCAGGUGUAGCGGUGAAAUGCGUAGAUAUCUGGAGGAAUACCGGUGGCGAAGGCGGCAUCCUGGACCGACAUUGACGCUGAGGAGCGAAAGCUAGGGGAGCAAACGGGAUUAGAUACCCCGGUAGUCCUAGCCC